AUUGAACGCUGGCGGCAGGCCUAACACAUGCAAGUCGAGCGGAUGAAGGGAGCUUGCUCCUGGAUUCAGCGGCGGACGGGUGAGUAAUGCCUAGGAAUCUGCCUGGUAGUGGGGGAUAACGUCCGGAAACGGGCGCUAAUACCGCAUACGUCCUGAGGGAGAAAGUGGGGGAUCUUCGGACCUCACGCUAUCAGAUGAGCCUAGGUCGGAUUAGCUAGUUGGUGGGGUAAAGGCCUACCAAGGCGACGAUCCGUAACUGGUCUGAGAGGAUGAUCAGUCACACUGGAACUGAGACACGCGGCCGACUCCUACGGGAGGCAGCAGUGUGGAAUAUUGGACAAUGGGCGAGAGCGUGAGCCAGCCACGCGGCGUGUGUGAAGAAGGUCUUCGGAUUGUAAAGCACUUUAAGUUGGGAGGAAGGGCAGUAAGUUAAUACCUUGCUGUUUUGACGUUACCAACAGAAUAAGCACCGGCUAACUUCGUG
RNAcentral lists this ribosomal RNA (484 nucleotides) under uncultured bacterium. RNAcentral describes it as "partial 16S ribosomal RNA". It matches the Rfam family "Bacterial small subunit ribosomal RNA", at positions 30 to 507 of the family's 1533-position model. The record is from RNAcentral.